CUUGAUCGAACCCAGCAACAACGGCCGGUCGCGGUCCUGACCGUAGGUCGCCAGCAACGCCUGCGCCUC
Molecule: antisense RNA, 69 nt
Filed under: Saccharopolyspora dendranthemae
Lineage: Bacteria; Bacillati; Actinomycetota; Actinomycetes; Pseudonocardiales; Pseudonocardiaceae
Description: ASpks TB sRNA
Rfam family: ASpks TB sRNA
Source: RNAcentral